RNAcentral lists this unclassified non-coding RNA (546 nucleotides) under Penicillium aragonense. Its description in RNAcentral is "sequence contains 18S rRNA gene, ITS1, 5.8S rRNA gene, ITS2, 28S rRNA gene". The stretch from base 182 to 335 matches the Rfam family "5.8S ribosomal RNA". Lineage: Eukaryota; Fungi; Ascomycota; Eurotiomycetes; Eurotiales; Aspergillaceae. The record is from RNAcentral.
GAUCAUUACUGAGUGAGGGCCCUCUGGGUCCAACCUCCCACCCGUGUUUAUUGUACCUUGUUGCUUCGGUGCGCCCGCCUCACGGCCGCCGGGGGGCUUCUGCCCCCGGGUCCGCGCGCACCGGAGACACUAUUGAACUCUGUCUGAAGAUUGCAGUCUGAGCAUAAACUAAAUAAGUUAAAACUUUCAACAACGGAUCUCUUGGUUCCGGCAUCGAUGAAGAACGCAGCGAAAUGCGAUAACUAAUGUGAAUUGCAGAAUUCAGUGAAUCAUCGAGUCUUUGAACGCACAUUGCGCCCCCUGGUAUUCCGGGGGGCAUGCCUGUCCGAGCGUCAUUGCUGCCCUCAAGCACGGCUUGUGUGUUGGGCUCCGUCCCCCCGGGGACGGGUCCGAAAGGCAGCGGCGGCACCGAGUCCGGUCCUCGAGCGUAUGGGGCUUUGUCACCCGCUCUGUAGGCCCGGCCGGCGCCAGCCGACAACCAAUCAUCCUUUUUUCAGGUUGACCUCGGAUCAGGUAGGGAUACCCGCUGAACUUAAGCAUAUCAAU